AAAGGGUAUUUAUACCUUUUACCUAAAGAGGGGUUUAUGUCCUAUCAGCUUGUUGGUGGGGUAACGGCCUACCAAGGCGAAGACGGGUAACCGGCCUUAGAGGGUAGUCGGUCACACUGGAACUGAGACACUGUCCAGACUUCUACGGAAGGCUGCAGUCGAGAAUCUUUCGCAAUGCCCGAAAGGGUGACGAAGCGACGCCGCGUGGAUGAAGAAGGCCUUCGGGUUGUAAAAUCCUGUCAGGAGUUAAGAAAUGUAGGUGCGAUAAUACCGUGCUUAUUUGACAAAGGCUCCAAAGGAAGCCACGGCUAACUCUGUGCCAGCAGCCGCGGUAAUACAGAGGUGGCAAGCGUUGUUCGGAAUUAUUGGGCGUAAAGAGCACGUAGGUGGAUUUGUUAGUCAGAUGUGAAAGCCUUUCGUUCAACGGAAGAAUUGCAUCUGAAACUACAAACCUUGAGUAUAGGAGGGGAGAGUGGAACUUCUGGUGGAGCGGUGAAAUGCGUAGAUAUCAGAAGGAACGCCGGCGGCGAAAGCGACUCUCUGGCCUAUAACUGACACUGAGUGUGCGAAAGCUAGGGGAGCAAACGGGAUUAGAUACCCCGGUAGUCCUAGCCGUAAACGAUGGGCACUAAGUAGGGGGAACUACCGAUGUUCUCUCUGCCGUAGCAAACGCGUUAAGUUGACCGCCUGGGGAGUACGGCCGCAAGGUUGAAACUCAAAGGAAUUGACGGGGGCCCGCACAAGCGGUGGAGCAUGUGGUUUAAUUCGAUGCAACGCGAAGAACCUUACCAGCCCUUGACAUCCUGGGAACUUACUAGAGAUAGUUUGGUGCCUUCGGGAAUCCAGUGACAGGUGCUGCAUGGCUGUCGUCAGCUCGUGUCGUGAGAUGUUGGGUUAAGUCCCGCAACGAGCGCAACCCUUAUCCUUAGUUGCCAGCACAUUAUGGUGGGAACUCUAAGGAGACUGCCGGUGAUAAACCGGAGGAAGGUGGGGAUGACGUCAAGUCAUCAUGGCCCUUAUGGGCUGGGCUACACACGUGCUACAAUGGUCGGUACAGAGGGCCGCAAUCCCGCGAGGGGGAGCCAAUCCCAGAAAGCCGAUCUUAGUCCGGAUCGCAGUCUGCAACUCGACUGCGUGAAGUCGGAAUCGCUAGUAAUCGCGAAUCAGCAAUGUCGCGGUGAAUACGUUCCCGGGCCUUGU
RNAcentral lists this ribosomal RNA (1200 nucleotides) under uncultured bacterium. Its description in RNAcentral is "bacterial SSU rRNA". It matches the Rfam family "Bacterial small subunit ribosomal RNA", at positions 202 to 1384 of the family's 1533-position model. The record is from RNAcentral.